Molecule: transfer RNA, 73 nt
Filed under: hydrothermal vent metagenome
Description: tRNA-Phe-GAA
Rfam family: tRNA
About the family: Transfer RNA (tRNA) molecules are approximately 80 nucleotides in length. Their secondary structure includes four short double-helical elements and three loops (D, anti-codon, and T loops).
Source: RNAcentral
GGUCGCAUAGCUCAGUCGGUAGAGCAAAGGACUGAAAAUCCUUGUGUCCUUAGUUCAAUUCUAAGUGCGACCA